Scomber scombrus (Atlantic mackerel) is the source of this 338-nucleotide long non-coding RNA. RefSeq lists it as uncharacterized. NCBI's taxonomy places the organism in Eukaryota, Metazoa, Chordata, Actinopteri, Scombriformes, Scombridae. The transcript has 3 exons. The record is from RefSeq and is a predicted model, not a curated record.
CAUUCUCAUCCACUUCAAAAGCACUGUUUUCCAUUCCAUAGGGCUUCUCUUUUACUGUUUCACCGACGCUGUCUUCCAGUGCUGGACACUCACUGUCUUCCUCAGAUGAAACACGAGCACAGUUCUUUUUAUACACUUGGUCAACCUGUGUUCAUCGGGCUACACCUACGCACUUUUUGGGAAAAAUACAAGCUGGAAAAUGUUUAAAGCCUGCUCACCUCCCACAGACAUGACUGCCACCACUAGCUGGAAGAUGCUGUAGAUGAGAGGGAAUGCAAACAUGACCUCCAGCUCAGCAGGGCUGAAAGACAGCUGGACGAUGGUGCUGCACAACUGGG